This 420-nucleotide ribosomal RNA is filed under the name uncultured bacterium. RNAcentral's name for it is "bacterial SSU rRNA". It matches the Rfam family "Bacterial small subunit ribosomal RNA", at positions 356 to 774 of the family's 1533-position model. The record is from RNAcentral.
AAGGAAUAUUGGUCAAUGGACGCAAGUCUGAACCAGCCAUGCCGCGUGAAGGAUGAAGGUCCUCUGGAUUGUAAACUUCUUUUAUCUGGGACGAAAACGGGAUUUUUAUCUCAAUUGACGGUACCAGAGGAAUAAGCACCGGCUAACUCCGUGCCAGCAGCCGCGGUAAUACGGAGGGUGCGAGCGUUAUCCGGAUUUACUGGGUUUAAAGGGUGCGUAGGUGGGCUUAUAAGUCAGUGGUGAAAUCUCCGAGCUUAACCUGGAAACUGCCGUUGAUACUAUAGGUCUUGAAUUAUCUGGAGGUAAGCGGAAUAUGUCAUGUAGCGGUGAAAUGCUUAGAUAUGACAUAGAACACCAAUUGCGAAGGCAGCUUACUACAUAUAAAUUGACGCUGAGGCACGAAAGCGUGGGGAUCAAACA